UACAGAGGUGGCAAGCGUUGUUCGGAAUUACUGGGCGUAAAGGGCGCGUAGGCGGCCUUGUAAGUCCUGUGUGAAAUCCCCCGGCUCAACUGGGGAACUGCACAGGAGACUGCUUGGCUUGAGUUCGGGAGAGGGAAGCGGAAUUCUGGGUGUAGCGGUGAAAUGCGUAGAUAUCGAGAGGAACACCUGCGGCGAAGGCGGGUUGCUGGGCUGAUACUGACGCUGAGGCGCGAAAGCCAGGGGAGCGAACGGG
RNAcentral lists this ribosomal RNA (253 nucleotides) under uncultured bacterium. RNAcentral describes it as "partial 16S ribosomal RNA". It matches the Rfam family "Bacterial small subunit ribosomal RNA", at positions 524 to 776 of the family's 1533-position model. The record is from RNAcentral.